GACGAACGCUGGCGGCGUGCUUAACACAUGCAAGUCGAACGGAAAGGCGCUGCUUUUGUGGGGUGCUCGAGUGGCGAACGGGUGAGUAACACGUGAGUAACCUGCCCUUGACUAUGGGAUAACUUCAGGAAACUGGGGAUAAUACCGGAUAGGAGCUCAUGCUGCAUGGUGGGGGUUGGAAAGUUUCGGCGGUUGGGGAUGGACUCGCGGCUUAUCAGCUUGUUGGUGGGGUAGUGGCUUACCAAGGCUUUGACGGGUAGCCGGCCUGAGAGGGUGACCGGCCACAUUGGGACUGAGAUACGGCCCAGACUCCUACGGGAGGCAGCAGUGGGGAAUAUUGCACAAUGGACGGAAGCCUGAUGCAGCAACGCCGCGUGCGGGAUGACGGCCUUCGUGUUGUAAACCGCUUUCGCCUGUGACGAAGCGUGAGUGACGGUAAUUGGUAAAGAAGCACCGGCUAACUACGUG
This 468-nucleotide ribosomal RNA is filed under the name uncultured bacterium. Its description in RNAcentral is "partial 16S ribosomal RNA". It matches the Rfam family "Bacterial small subunit ribosomal RNA", at positions 28 to 507 of the family's 1533-position model. The record is from RNAcentral.